AUGGCAAAUACUAGCAUCCUCCAAGUCUUCAUUGUUUUUAUCAUUGCGCAAGUCUGCUUACUCAUGAUGAUGGCAACACCGAUAGCGCAGGCAGCAGGCAGGCUUAUGGGAUACAAUCCAGUUUGCUGCCCUAGGGACAUCUACUGUUGUGGGUUUGGCAGUGUGAUGGCCAAUGGAACUGCAUCCUCCACCAAGCCUUGA
This 201-nucleotide ribosomal RNA is filed under the name Triticum aestivum (bread wheat). RNAcentral describes it as "partial small subunit ribosomal RNA". Lineage: Eukaryota; Viridiplantae; Streptophyta; Magnoliopsida; Poales; Poaceae. The record is from RNAcentral.